CCUACGGGUGGCAGCAGUGGGGAAUAUUGCACAAUGGGGGCAACCCUGAUGCAGCGACGCCGCGUGAGUGAAGAAGUCUUUCGGUAUGGAAAGCUCUAUCAGCAGGGGAGAAAAUGACGGUACCUGAUUAAUAAGCCCCGUCUAACUACGUUCCAGCAGCCUCGGUAAUACGUAGGGGGCAAGCGUUAUCCGGAUUUACUGGGUGUAAAGGGAGCGUAGACGGCAGCACAAGUCUGGAGUGAAAUGCCGCGGCUUAACCCCGGAACUGCUUUGGAAACUGUGAAGCUAGAGUGCAGGAGAGGUAAGUGGAAUUCGUAGUGUAGCGGUGAAAUGCGUAGAUAUUAGGAGGAACACCAGUGGCGAAGGCGGCUUACUGGACUGCCACUGACGUUGAGGCUCGAAAGCGUGGGGAGCAAACAGGAUUAGAUACCCGAGUAGUC
Molecule: ribosomal RNA, 440 nt
Filed under: uncultured bacterium
Lineage: Bacteria
Description: partial 16S ribosomal RNA
Rfam family: Bacterial small subunit ribosomal RNA
Source: RNAcentral